UAACGCGUGAGGAACCUGCCUCAAAGAGGGGGACAACAGUUGGAAACGACUGCUAAUACCGCAUAAGCCCACGGCUCGGCAUCGAGCAGAGGGAAAAGGAGCAAUCCGCUUUGAGAUGGCCUCGCGUCCGAUUAGCUAGUUGGUGAGGUAAUGGCCCACCAAGGCGACGAUCGGUAGCCGGACUGAGAGGUUGAACGGCCACAUUGGGACUGAGACACAGCCCAG
This 225-nucleotide ribosomal RNA is filed under the name uncultured bacterium. RNAcentral's name for it is "partial 16S ribosomal RNA". It matches the Rfam family "Bacterial small subunit ribosomal RNA", at positions 111 to 334 of the family's 1533-position model. The record is from RNAcentral.